RNAcentral lists this long non-coding RNA (1155 nucleotides) under Ursus maritimus (polar bear). Its description in RNAcentral is "lncRNA (ENSUMAG00000001883.1)". The record is from RNAcentral. Lineage: Eukaryota; Metazoa; Chordata; Mammalia; Carnivora; Ursidae.
GCGCGCAGAGAGGAAGGGGAAGCUCCACCUGUACUGGGCGGCUCCCCUCUUGGGGAAUCGAGAACUGCGAGGUCGAAGAAGGAGCACUCCCAUGGCCCCGCUGUGCUGAGGGAGGAGGUGGGGUUUUGCUGGAUGCUGCCAAAUGGGUAGGAUUUGCCUGAAUUGAAAGGAGGGGCCGUUUUCAGGAGGGGUCGUAAGGGACAAGGAGGAGAUAAUCACAAGCUGUCUGCUUUGAACCCCCUUUGCAUUUCCCCAUCUCUUCCUGGGGAGGAAUAUGUGGGUGUGCGCAUCCAACUCUUAUUCCCUUUCUCCGUGGCAGGCCAUCAAAGCCAAAUCCGAACUUGAAUUCUGUGCAGGCGAUUGCAGAGCUGUCUUGACGCCCUGAGGACUGGGAUCUGCAAACCCCACUGGACGGAAGUCAGGGCUGGGAUCUGCAAACCCCACUGGACGGAAGUCAGGGCUGGGAUCUGCAAUCCCCAGUGGACAGAGGUCGACCUACCCCGAAGGCGAGCUUUCCCAUGGAGGGCACCUGUUGCAGAGGCUGGAAAUGAAAUAAAGGCGUGUGCUUGUUUCCGAGCUUACGUUUUAUAAUCCGAGAAAUAAGGGGGGUAACUUUGAGAAGCGUGUGUGGUUGAGAUCUGAAACGUGAGUUUAACAGAUACCUUUAAUUUUUUUUGAGUAUAGUUAACACGCAAUGAUUUUAAUGGAUAUCUUAUUAUCACAAAUCUGUGAGAUUUAGACCAUUGCGCUCUAUUUUGAGAGCCCAAGAACAGCUCCACACACACUAUUUCACCUAGAAUCCAAAGCAACAGUUGCCCUCCCUCCUGGAGGACUGGCCAGAGGGAAUAGAUGGAACUCCAGAAAGUACUCUGCUAGCACAAGACACGUGGUAGUUCCAAAAAGUUGUAAUUGCCAGUCUCCUGCAGGGUAUUUUUGGGUCAGUGGGCAAAUAUAAAAUGUACUGCAGGGUGUUCAUUAAAGUAGAGCAACUGCAGACUACUUCCCUGCAAUAUACUACCUUAUUGACCUUUUUUCCCCUUUUUCUUUACAGUCCCUAUUGAGAUACAAGGAAGGCAGAGCCCGGAAACACUGCUUUGGGGAUUCCUCCGACAGAUGAGGCUUUUCUAAAAAGCCUGUGCAUCUUGUUAUAUUCAG